RNAcentral lists this microRNA precursor (88 nucleotides) under Olea europaea subsp. europaea. It matches the Rfam family "MIR1846 microRNA precursor family", at positions 1 to 86 of the family's 110-position model. Lineage: Eukaryota; Viridiplantae; Streptophyta; Magnoliopsida; Lamiales; Oleaceae. The record is from RNAcentral.
AACAGUCGCUGAAUUUUACAAAAGGUUUCCCAGGGAUCACUGAAUUCGGUGACCUCGGGGAAACCUUUUGUAAAAUUUAGUGAUCAUU